This 87-nucleotide transfer RNA is filed under the name Cristinia sonorae. It matches the Rfam family "tRNA". From Rfam's summary of the family: Transfer RNA (tRNA) molecules are approximately 80 nucleotides in length. Their secondary structure includes four short double-helical elements and three loops (D, anti-codon, and T loops). Further hydrogen bonds mediate the characteristic L-shaped molecular structure. tRNAs have two regions of fundamental functional importance: the anti-codon, which is responsible for specific mRNA codon recognition, and the 3' end, to which the tRNAs corresponding amino acid is attached (by aminoacyl-tRNA synthetases). tRNAs cope with the degeneracy of the genetic code in two manners: having more than one tRNA (with a specific anti-codon) for a particular amino acid; and 'wobble' base-pairing, i.e. permitting non-standard base-pairing at the 3rd anti-codon position. Lineage: Eukaryota; Fungi; Basidiomycota; Agaricomycetes; Agaricales; Stephanosporaceae. The record is from Rfam by way of RNAcentral.
GCAUUAAUGGGGUAGUGGUAACCUGGGUCGUUGCCAUGAUUCGAACGUGAGUUCGACCCGCCGGGGGUUCGAUUCCCCCUUAAUGCA